AGGGAGAAAAGCUUAAUUACUGUCCAAUGAAGUUGAACCCUUGGCUGAGGAAAGGCAUGGACACGUGACAUUCCCCACCCCCAGCCGGGAGUGGAAGGGGAGUGAGGAACCGUCGCUCACCCAUCGAGCCUGAAACUAGAAGAAAAAGGCCAUGGAAAAGCCCCUGAUCCUGGGAGUGACAGGGGUGGAGGACCUGAGUUAUAAUUUCACAAGAAUUUGAACUUUAUUUUUCUGCGGAGAGUCACGUGAUUUGGUAAAGAAGCAAAUUAAAGGAAUUGAGACACUGACAAAAUAACAAGCAAAUUUAUAUAUCACCUUCUAAAACUAAUACAUCUUCUAGGUGUUUCUGAAAAGUUAUCACACAGAAAUUAUCUGAUUGGACUAAAUCACCCACUGAAAAAAUAAACCUGCAUGGGAGAUAUAUACAUUUAUAAAAUCAGGCAGGAAAUGUAGUUAUGUUAUAUUUAGAUUGUAGCUGGCUUCAACGCUGCUUCUGGAUUCAUCACGGGUGACUGGUGGACAUUGAGAAGGUUAUCCCUUUUAGGAAAACAAUCUAUCUUUGCCAAAUAUUAACCAGGAAUAGAUUUAUAUGGCUUAAAUGACCACCUUGGCACUUUGAAAUUUGAGAAAUAGCACUUCUAGUAAGAAAAAUUAUUAUAUGGGGUUUUCUCUUUUUAAAACAUUUUAUUCUUUUGAUGUAAGUUGAUUAUAACACAAAAUUUAGAAGCAAGAAGAAAGAUGGAUAACUUCGACUAAAUAAAUAAAAAUCAUGCCACAUAAAAUCACUAUAACACAAUUAAAAAGGCAGAUUUCCAAAAUAUGAGAGAUAACGCUUGCACUAUGCACUACAAAUUAAUGUAUCAUAUCCCUAAUAUAUGAAAGACUCUUUAAAAACAAGGCUCAAAUGCUGGGUGCGGUGGCUUACGCCUGUAAUCCCAGCACUUUGGGAGGCUGAGGCGGGCAGAUCAUGAGGUCAGGAGUUCGAGACCAGCCUGGCCCAUAUGGUGAAACCCUGUCUCUACUAAAAAUACAAAAAUUAGCCAGGCAUGGUGGCGGGUGCCUGUAGUCCCAGCUACUCAGGAGGCUGAGGCAGAAGAAUCGCUUGAACCCGGGAGGUGGAGGUUGCAGUGAGCCGAGAUCACGCCACUGCACUCCAGCCUGGGCGACAGAGUCACACUCCAUCCAAAAAAAACAAAAAAAAAAUUUAGAAAACUGAGCAAUUAUCAUGAAUAAAGAUUUCCCACAGAAAUUAUACAAAUGGCCUUUGAACUCAUAAAAAGAUGCUUAAUUUUACUCAUUAUAAGGGAAACAUAAAAUAAAAUUACCUGCUUGAUAUUAUUUAUCAUCUAUCACAUUGGCAAAAAUUCAAGUGUGACAAGACUCUUUUGCUGAAGUUGUACAGCACCAGGCACUCUCAAAUAUUGCUGAUGGAAUACAAAAAUACAACAGAAUUGUGAAGAACUUCCCAAUAACUAAAAAAAAAAAAAAAAAAAAACUGAUAUGAAGUUACUCUCUCACCCAGUAAUCCCACCUCUAAAGAUUUACUCUUAAAAUACAUCUCCAAGAAAAUCAAACAAAGCAAAACUUCACCAAGACAAUUAUUGCAGCAAUAUUUCUAAUAGUAAAAUAUAUGAAAAAAAAAUUCUCCUUUAUAGGAAAUUGGUUGAAUAAACUAGGCUAAACACAUAUGAAUGGACAACUACACAACUAUGUAAUAAAAUGAGCAUAAUCUUCAUGAAUUAAUAUUGUGUAAUCUCUAGGAUGUAUUGUGAAGUGAAAAAACAAAGUGGGAAAAUAUACUUAAUACAAAACCUGUGUUUAAGCAUGAAUGGGUAUAAAAUAUGUAUUUAUAUAUAUGUAUUUUUAAGAUCUUAAUUUUUAAAGAAAGAAAGGAAGUGUCAAUCAGAUACUAAAGAAAAUGGUUACACAGAGAGAGUGAUGGGCAUUGAGUGGAAGAAAAAGAGUUGAGAGUGGGACUCUUCUAAUAUGUUUUUACUUUGAAACUAUGUCAAUAAUUUACAUAUUUAAAAAAAUAAAGCAAAAGGAAUGCAAAUGAAGCAAGUAUCAACAUGAAAAACAAAUAGAAACAAAGGAAUAUAUCACUGCAGCAUUGAUACCAUAAUUAUACCAAAGAAUUAAUGCACUUAUUCUAAAGUGGAAUUUGUUCAUUUUUGAACAAAGUGCUCUGAGGGGACAUCCUUGAUGGGAUAUACUCUAAGGAAAAGACAGAAAACAAGAGAAAAUGCCGAAAAAUUCUAAAAGUUACAUAGUGGUUUUGAUGUUGAUAGUGGUAGGCAUGUAGUGAUUUCAAAACUAUUUUUAUGCAGUGUAGAAUUGAACAAAGAAAGGAACAUAUUGAUACUAUUGGGAAGUAGGUUCUCAUUAUGGGAGAAGUGAGAUGCAAAUAUGAAAUAGGAAUGGAGAUAAAGAGCCUUGUGAUGGCCAGGCGCAGUGGUUCACGCCUGUAAUCCCAGCGCUUUGGGAGGCUGAAGUGGGUGGAUCACAAGGUCAGGAGUUCAAGGCCAGCCUGGUUAAUAUGGUGAAACCCCGUCUCUACUAAAAAUACAAAAAACAAUUAGCCGGGCGUGGUGGAGCACACCUGUAAUCCCAGCUACUCAGGAGCCUGAGGCAGGAGAAUUGCUUGAACCUGGGAGGCUGAGGUUGGGGUGAGCAAAGAUCACGCCACUGCACUCCAGCCUGGGCGACAGAGGGAGACUCUGCCUCAAAGAAAAAAAAAAAAGCCUUGUGAUGUAGGAGAGUAUUAGAAGUAUCAGUACAGUCAUCCUUCAGUAUCCACAGGAGAUUGCUUCCAGGACACUGCAGAUACCAAAACCCAUAGAUGCUCAAGUCCCUUAUAUAAAAUGGAAUAGUAUUUGCAUAUUACCUAUGCAAAUCCUCCCAUAUACUUUAAAUAAUUUCUCAAUUAUUUUGAAUACCCAAUAAAAUGUAAUUGUUAUGUGAAUAGUUGUUAUACUAUAUUUUUAUUUCAUUUUUACAUAAUAAAAAUUGUUAUUUUGUGUUGCAUGUUUUAGAAAAAUAUUUUCCUUCUGUGAUUGGUUGCAUCCACAGAUGCAGAACCUGAGCAGAGUGAAGAGGUUGUUCUACUACCAUCUGGCUUCUAUAGUUGAGAAGUUAUAUACGAAGGCAUACACAAGGAUUACGGCAAGAUUGCUUUACUGCCUUCUGCUAACUCUGCAUCAACAGGAAACGAAAGUUUUUGAACU
Molecule: long non-coding RNA, 3224 nt
Filed under: Homo sapiens (human)
Lineage: Eukaryota; Metazoa; Chordata; Mammalia; Primates; Hominidae
Description: HSALNT0042363
Source: RNAcentral